RNAcentral lists this long non-coding RNA (455 nucleotides) under Gallus gallus (chicken). Lineage: Eukaryota; Metazoa; Chordata; Aves; Galliformes; Phasianidae. The record is from RNAcentral.
AGCGCUUAUAGGGUCAGGCCAAUUAAUGGGGUUUUUCCGCCCUAUAGUGGCUGCAGUCGGGGAUGUCCUUAUAGGGCUGGGGUGUUAAUAGGGUCAGGCUGCUUAUAGGGCCGGUCUCCCUAUGGGGUCAGGCUCCUUAUAGGGUCAGAGCUCUUAUAGGGUCAGGCCAAUUAAUGGGGUUUUUCCGCCCUAUAGUGGCUGCAGUCGGGGAUGUCCUUAUAGGGCUGGGUUCCUUAUGGGGUCACAGUCCUUAUAGGGCCGGUCUCCCUAUGGGGUCAGGCUCCUUAUAGGGUCAGAGCGCUUAUAGGGUCAGCCCAUUAAUAGGGUUUUUCUGCCCUAUAGUGGCUGCAGUCGGAGAUGUCCUUAUAGGGCUGGGUUCCUUAUAGGGUCACAGUCCUUAUAGGGCCGGUCUCCCUAUGGGGUCAGGCUCCUUAUAGGGUCAGAGCUCUUAUAGG